Molecule: ribosomal RNA, 303 nt
Filed under: uncultured bacterium
Lineage: Bacteria
Description: partial 16S ribosomal RNA
Rfam family: Bacterial small subunit ribosomal RNA
Source: RNAcentral
AGCAGCAGCCGCGGGAAUACGUAGGGUGCAAGCGUUAUCCGGAAUUAUUGGGCGUAAAGAGCUCGUAGGCGGUUUGUCGCGUCUGCUGUGAAAACUGGAGGCUCAACCUCCAGCCUGCAGUGGGUACGGGCAGACUAGAGUGCGGUAGGGGAGAUUGGAAUUCCUGGUGUAGCGGUGGAAUGCGCAGAUAUCAGGAGGAACACCGAUGGCGAAGGCAGAUCUCUGGGCCGUAACUGACGCUGAGGAGCGAAAGCGUGGGGAGCGAACAGGAUUAGACCCCGGUAGUCCCUGUCUCUUAUACAC